GACGAACGCUGGCGGCGUGCUUAACACAUGCAAGUCGAGCGAGGAAAUUCUUUCGGGAAUUUCCUAGCGGCGGACGGGUGAGUAACACGUGGGCAACCUGCCUGAUAGAGGGGGAUAGCCUCCCGAAAGGGAGAUUAAUACCGCAUAAAGUCAAAUGAAGGCAUCUUCGAAUGACCAAAGGAGUAAUCCGCUAUCAGAUGGGCCCGCGGCGCAUUAGCUAGUUGGUGAGGUAACGGCUCACCAAGGCGACGAUGCGUAGCCGACCUGAGAGGGUGAUCGGCCACAUUGGGACUGAGACACGGCCCAGACUCCUACGGGAGGCAGCAGUGGGGAAUAUUGCACAAUGGGGGGAACCCUGAUGCAGCAACGCCGCGUGAGUGAUGAAGGCCUUCGGGUUGUAAAGCUCUGUCUUCAGGGACGAUAAUGACGGUACCUGAGGAGGAAGCCACGGCUAACUACGUGCCAGCAGCCGCAGUAA
RNAcentral lists this ribosomal RNA (478 nucleotides) under uncultured bacterium. RNAcentral's name for it is "partial 16S ribosomal RNA". It matches the Rfam family "Bacterial small subunit ribosomal RNA", at positions 28 to 523 of the family's 1533-position model. The record is from RNAcentral.